Long non-coding RNA from Triticum aestivum (bread wheat), 1318 nucleotides. RefSeq lists it as uncharacterized. Lineage: Eukaryota; Viridiplantae; Streptophyta; Magnoliopsida; Poales; Poaceae. The record is from RefSeq and is a predicted model, not a curated record. The transcript has 4 exons.
CCUACCCCAACUUGUUUGGGACUAAAGGCUUUGUUGUUGUUGUUGUCUUCUGUCAGUGCAUGCAUUGUGCUGCGAACUGGAACUUGCAGCAGAAAGUUUUCAUUUAACUUUGUUUUCAAAUCUUGAAGAACUAUAUAUAAUGUAUGGUUUUGCUUCAUGUGGUGCCACUUGCUGGUUUGCAUGUUAGUUCUGUGCAGUGAGUCUAUAUGGCAGUAAAAUGUCGUUCACAUUGUUUUUAAGGCGUCCUGCUUUAGACACUUAGGUGUCGCUUAGGCAAUAGGGCGCCCUAGCAGCGCCUUAGAAAUAUGCCAGCUUUACGCGCUUAGGUGUCAGAGCGGUUGGUGCUCGCCUUAGGUCGCCUUACUGCCUUAUAAACAACUUCAAACCUAUAUUCCCACAUACCAUCAUUGUUAGGAAUAUUUAAAAUGUAAUUUCACAUAAACUAAUGUUUCUAUAUUUGUUUUCUCAUUCAAACACAUAUAUCCUGUAGCAAGCUUUCUUGGAUUAACUCGUGGUAUCCAGUUCCCAAGCAUUCUCUUAAUUUAGUGUCCUUUCUGAGGCAUGGACCUGGUUUCUUUUGUAGGAGGUGGUCACUUUGGAUGCAUAUGAUUAUCUGGUUCUUUUGUGGAUGUGUAUUUGCAGGCACACAAUUAGCACGGGCAGAAACUUGGAAGCCAGGGAACAACCACUCUUUGCUUAUGUAAUGGAAUUGAAACAUUGCACGAUACAUAGGAUGAGUGGAUGACUCUGGUUUAUGUGCUAGUGUGCCGAAAUGGUUCAACAGUCUAUACAUGGUUCAACUUAAAUCGAUGCAAUCCAAGAGGCUUUAUGGAACCAGUCAUUUUCCUUGCUACUAUCCUCUCACGAGUUUCUAUGCACCAGGUGAGGGAAUGACUGCUGCAGUUCUCACCGGGUUUGUUCCAUCACAUCGAUGUGGUUGGCACUAUUUAUAUGUUAUCUGUAAGAAAAAAACUUAUCAUGCCAGUCCAGCCAAGUUUCUAAUCCAGGGAAUUUCAGCUUACCCUAGUAGUAUUAUUUGAAGUCGGUUUUCAGCCCCAUCUUGUGUUCUUUAUAUGCUUGUGCUUGGAGGGUCGUCUCUUCAGCUCAAAUAUGACCUAAACUUAAUUAUAUGUUUGUCAGUUUGUGUACUCUUCUCGGCUGUAGUAUGAAAAGCACGACAUUACAGUCGAUGUUUUGUGUAAGCCAUGAGAGUUUCAGCAGUAAGCAUCACCUAGACUUGUAUUGUUGUGUAUUCUUUUUAGCUGUGGUUUGAAAAGCAUCUACGGUCGAUCUGAAGUGGUCACGAUCCACUUGUGCU